This 962-nucleotide long non-coding RNA is filed under the name Mytilus galloprovincialis (Mediterranean mussel). Lineage: Eukaryota; Metazoa; Mollusca; Bivalvia; Mytilida; Mytilidae. The record is from RNAcentral.
GCGGCAGCCAUAUAGAAAAUUUUUGCUGUUUCCAUGGCAACGGCGGCCAUUUUGAAAAUUCUAAACUCGAAAGACAAGUCUACAUAAGGUAGGCAACAUUUGUUAUAAAGUUUCAUUAAAUUUAAAGCAUUUUGAAGUUUUUCAUAUUUUUGCUGUUUCCAUGGUAACGGCGGCCAUUUUGAAUAUUCCAAAGUCAAACCCCCGCUGCAAUUUUUUCCCUCCAUAAUCAUAUACCAUUUAAUGUCUCUAGAAUAAAUUUAACAUUGAUGUUCUGGAAUGUUCUGUGAAAAUUCAAAGUUUUGACCUUUUUGCAUUGUUUCCAUGGUAACAACAGAUAUUUUGGAAAUUCCAACGCCAAAUUCCACAUUUUCCAAUGUUGCUCAUCGUUACUGUGAAGUUUCAUUAAGUUUUGAGCAUUUUGAUUUUUUUGAAAUUUUUGGUAUUGUUUCCAUGGCAACAUAGUAGUUCCAAUGAGUGUCAAAAUCAUCCAAUACCUGUAUAUAGUGGGCACCUACAUUGUAUCAAAAUAUAAUGAUUCUGACUUAAAGCAUAACCAAACAGUUCACCGAAACUAAAAACUGGAUUUUUUCACAUUUGUUCUGUUUCCAUGGUAACGGCGGCCAUUUUUUACCAUUCCAAUGUCUCUUGCACAACUCCACAUGGCGGUUCAUAUGAUGGUAUAGUUCCAUCAACAUGGGUAUGACCAAUUAAGAGAAAUAGCGUGGACAAAAUGUGUGGAAGAAUAAAAAUAAUAACUAGAUUUGCCAUUGCAAGCAAUAGCGGAUGGCACCCUUCCCCUAUUGCCAGGUGAUCGGCAGCCAUUUUGAAAAUUCCAAAGUCAAAGAUUGCAUCUACAGAUGUGUAUUAACAUUGUUGUAACGUUUCAUUAAUUUUGGAGCAUUUUGAAAUUUUUGAAAUUUUUGCUAUUUCCAUGGUAACGGGUACCAUUUUUAAAAUUCCAA